This 493-nucleotide ribosomal RNA is filed under the name uncultured bacterium. RNAcentral's name for it is "partial 16S ribosomal RNA". It matches the Rfam family "Bacterial small subunit ribosomal RNA", at positions 29 to 523 of the family's 1533-position model. The record is from RNAcentral.
AUUGAACGCUGGCGGCAUGCCUUACACAUGCAAGUCGAACGGUAACAGGUUAAGCUGACGAGUGGCGAACGGGUGAGUAAUGUAUCGGAACGUGCCCAGUCGUGGGGGAUAACUGCUCGAAAGAGCAGCUAAUACCGCAUACGACCUGAGGGUGAAAGCGGGGGAUCGCACGACCUCGCGCGAUUGGAGCGGCCGUUAGCAGAUUAGGUAGUUGGUGAGGUAAAGGCUCACCAAGCCGACGAUCGGUAGCUGGUCUGAGAGGACGACCAGCCACCCUGGGACUGAGACACGGCCCAGACUCCUACGGGAGGCAGCAGCGGGGAAUUUUGGACAAUGGGCGCAAGCCUGAUCCAGCCAUGCCGCGUGCGGGAAGAAGGCCUUCGGGUUGUAAACCGCUUUUGUCAGGGAAGAAAAGGUUCUGGCUAAUACCUGGGACUCAUGACGGUACCUGAAGAAUAAGCACCGGCUAACUACGUGCCAGCCGCCGCCGUAA